UACGGGGGGGGCAAGCGUUGUUCGGAAUUACUGGGCGUAAAGGGCUCGUAGGCGGCCCGCUAAGUCGAACGUGAAAUCCCCGAGCUCAACUCGGGAACUGCGUCCGAUACUGGCGGGCUUGAAUCCGGGAGAGGGAUGCGGAAUUCCAGGUGUAGCGGUGAAAUGCGUAGAUAUCUGGAGGAACACCGGUGGCGAAGGCGGCAUCCUGGACCGGCAUUGACGCUGAGGCGCGAAAGCUAGGGGAGCAAACGGG
RNAcentral lists this ribosomal RNA (253 nucleotides) under uncultured bacterium. RNAcentral's name for it is "partial 16S ribosomal RNA". It matches the Rfam family "Bacterial small subunit ribosomal RNA", at positions 524 to 776 of the family's 1533-position model. The record is from RNAcentral.